This 187-nucleotide unclassified non-coding RNA is filed under the name plant metagenome. Its description in RNAcentral is "partial contains small subunit ribosomal RNA and internal transcribed spacer 1". The stretch from base 1 to 46 matches the Rfam family "Eukaryotic small subunit ribosomal RNA", at positions 1786 to 1831 of the family's 1831-position model. The record is from RNAcentral.
AAGUCGUAACAAGGUUUCCGUAGGUGAACCUGCGGAAGGAUCAUUACCUAGAGUUGCGGGCUUUGCCUGCCAUCUCUUACCCAUGUCUUUUGAGUACCUUACGUUUCCUCGGCGGGUCCGCCCGCCGACUGGACAAUUUAAACCACUUGCAGUUGCAAUCAGCGUCUGAAAAACUUAAUAGUUACAA